UUAUUCUAUUUUUGUAAGUCGCUCUGGAUAAGAGCGUCUGCUAAAUGACUUAAA
Molecule: non-coding RNA, 54 nt
Organism: Salmo salar (Atlantic salmon)
Lineage: Eukaryota; Metazoa; Chordata; Actinopteri; Salmoniformes; Salmonidae
Source: Rfam